Serinus canaria (Common canary) is the source of this 1486-nucleotide long non-coding RNA. RefSeq lists it as uncharacterized. The transcript has 2 exons. The record is from RefSeq and is a predicted model, not a curated record. NCBI's taxonomy places the organism in Eukaryota, Metazoa, Chordata, Aves, Passeriformes, Fringillidae.
AUUUACACAGAAUUGUCUUUCCCAAUCACUGUCUUUGGGAUUAAUUCAACCGUUUGGCUUGGGAUUGUUUUUAAUUGCAGGAACCAUCAGUGUCUGGGCUAGAAACCCCCCCCUUCAAUCCACCCACUCUGUUCCCAUUUCAGAUCCCAGGAAACUUUAACUCUUGCUUCUCCAUGGCCCCAAAACAAGCCACAUGGGCUGGCUCUGUGCUUCCAAGCUGGUGACUCUUCUAUGGACAGACACACAUUCUGAUACUUUGAAAAGGACACCUGAAACUUCUGUGGGAUCUUUCCAACAAGAAGGCGUAGUUCAGCCCUGGCACAGGCUGCCCAAGGCAAUGGUGGAGCCAUCAUCCCUGGGAGUGUUCAAAAGCAGUGUGGAUGUGACACCUGGGGACAGGGUUUAGUGGUGAGUGUGGUGGUGCUGGGCUGAUGGUUGGACUUAUCUUAAAGAUCUUUUUUCCCACCUUAACAAUUCUGUGACUCUAUCAGCAACCUGCCCAAGAGAUGGGACACCCUGGCAGCCUCUCCCCCUUGGUGGGGACACAGGAGAGGAUUCUGCAACAAGAUUGAACUGCUUUCCACAAAUUUCCCUCCACGUUUCCCUCUGCCAGGCUCCAGAUGUCCAGAUCCAAAUCUCAGACUGGAGCCCCCAACUGAACCCCCAGAGCACCUCCGCUGUGAGAAGUGGAAAGGGCAGAGCACAAAACUUCAGGCUGGGGCUUGAGGCAGACUAGAAGAACUUCUUCUUUGUGAGAAACAUUUAAUUCAACACCAUGACUUACAAGAGGACAGAUUUACAGAGUAGUAACUGUAACAGACUGUUCAGAAAGGAAAAUAAUGGUCGCUGCCUGCAGUGCCAGGUAAAGCUCCCCAAAGCAGCACCUGGCAGAGCAUCAGCAAAGUACAAUUCAGUCUCCUUGCAGUACUCAAAUGAGCAAUAUCAACCAAUUUUGUGUUUUCAAACCUUUAAGAAAAGAGUGAAUAAAGGAUCAAUCACUUUGGCAUGGGCUAUUUUUCAGGGAUCACUAAGCUGCACUACUCCCAAAGGCAAUUUCCUGGCCCCUGGCUGUCCCUGCUAAUCUUUCUCACACAAUAAAGGCUCUGGGAGCUACUUUCUUCCCCAAGUUUUGGGAUACCAACAACUUGUACAAUUGGUUGGUGGCACAAUAUUUAAUGCACCACUUUGUAGUGUUCUCUCAGCUGAGACGUCCACGCACGGUUAUGCAAUGGAUACCCCUAAGACUAAAAUAAUUCUGCAACCCAGUCAACACAUUCCCCAAGCUAUCAACUCUCAUCUUCCUCCCCUCUCCUUGUCUCCCUUCCCAGAGAAAUCCAUUUUUAGCCACAAGUUACCCCAAUAUGCUCAAAGAUGUACUGGAAGAGACUGAGGGAUCAAUCAAGGUACCCAUGGUGAAGCCCAAUACUUAUAAACACAUUAAGGCAGGUUUCACAUAGUCCAAUUGUUGACACAAAAUGCUGGUCAC